Long non-coding RNA from Limulus polyphemus (Atlantic horseshoe crab), 1797 nucleotides. RefSeq lists it as uncharacterized. Lineage: Eukaryota; Metazoa; Arthropoda; Merostomata; Xiphosura; Limulidae. The transcript is spliced from 2 exons. The record is from RefSeq and is a predicted model, not a curated record.
AGAGCAAUCACAAAAUAUAUUGUAGUGAAGUGCGCCAACCCCAAAAUUUCUAUCUUUCAGACAUAUCUAGUUUGUGUAGUGCAGGAAACUAAUUUAUACUAAGCACUGUCUAUUUGUGUGUGAUUAGCUGAAGAAUUUACUCUGUUUUUAAGCUGCAGCGUCAGGAGAAGAAGAAUCAGAGCAAGAAACGGGCGAAUUUUCACCUCCGUUUUCUCGUUACUGACAGAGCAAUUGUAGCGACGCGCGAAGAUGGUUCCAUAACAGAGCCCAGUAGCUCAUGGUGGCAGCAGAAAAUCAGGAUCGAGGAGAGGGCAUUCUGCAGGCACACGGCCGGCGAACUUCCCCAACACAAGCAGAAAGUGGAAACGUCGCCCUCCUCUCGGGCAGAGAAAGUGCACACAACAUACAGGCUGUAUAAUUAACAUGUGCCAGAAACGGGAGAAGUCAACGUCUAACUGUGGAUCUGUUACGAGAGGAACGCGUUACUUCAGCCAAAAAGUUACCAUUAACCAAUUCCUACUUCAGAUGGGAUAAUUAUCAAUAUGUCUUGACAACGUGUGGUCCUCCAUUUCUCAGAAACGGUCUUUUGCCAUCAUUUGAAUGCUUUCUCUGUUUAUUAUUAUUCUUACCCACAAACAACUUUCGAAUUAGACCCUGAAACAUUAAUAUUGUGUGCUCGUUGAAACGUUUGGGAUAACUAACUACAUGUGGUUAUAAAUCGUUAGCGUGUAACGUAUAUUUUUUUGCACUACCAUUAAUCUAUGUAUACUUUAAGCUUACAAACGUCAGAGCUUUCAAAAGCAGCUAUAGGCACGACCAACACUUGCUGCCAGUAAAUGUGAGAUUUGCUAAUUUACCUACACUCUAUACAUGGGAUAACGAAAUAAAUAGAAAUGUCGAGUUUCUCACAUAAAACAUAAACUAAUUAGUAGCUACUACUGGUUAUUGACUAUUUAGUAGUUAAUUGUUUUGUCGGAUAUAUAUCCGCUUAAACAAUUAAUAUUUACAUUGUAAAACUCCUAUUUUUCGAUACGUGAUCAAUACACACAGCACGGGUAUACUUAGUAUCACGAAUUAUUUGUUUCAGUAUUUAUGUCCUAAUAUUAAGUUUAAUGCAAUUCCGACUAUUACUGGUUCAAGCAAAAACUUUACUAAGUUGCCACUCUAUUGUAUUGCUUGGAGUUUUCUGUACUUUGUUGCUUCAAGGGAGGUAUUAAGACCAGAUAUUUUGUGUUUCGUUGAUUUUUAAUACAACUUAUUAUUUCUUUUUUCCUCAAAUAAUCGAUAGUCACAAACUCAGAUUUCAUAAAUAUGAAAUUAAUGACUCAUUGAAUUAUAAACCAGUACAACAGCACUGGUCACAUGGAUAUAAAAUACGCUAUAAACACACAGAAACAUAAUGAAUUAUAAACCAAUAGAACAACACUGGUCAAACUUAUAUGAAAGACGUUAUAAACACAAACUAACAUGCUGAGUUCUAAACCAGUAGACAAACACUGACCAAACUGAUAUAAAAUGUUAUAAACACACACUAACAUACUGAAUUAUGAAACAGUAGAAAAGAACUGGUCCCACAGAUAUAAAAUACGGUAUAAGCAUACUAAAUUAUAAACCAGUAGAACAGCACUGGCCACAUCGAUAUAAAAUUUCCUAUAAACACACAAACAAACUGAAUUAUAAACCAGUAGAAAAGCAGUGGCAACGCUAAUAUAAAAUACGCUAUAUAAACGCACGAACACAGUUAAUUACGAACCAGUAAAACAGCAGUGGUUACACCGAUAUGAAAUACGUUAUAAA